Long non-coding RNA from Gossypium arboreum, 313 nucleotides. RefSeq lists it as uncharacterized. The record is from RefSeq and is a predicted model, not a curated record. The transcript is spliced from 2 exons. Lineage: Eukaryota; Viridiplantae; Streptophyta; Magnoliopsida; Malvales; Malvaceae.
GGGGUUACUCACCCUAUCUCCGCUGUCUUCACCAUUGUUAUCCUCCGUUUGCAAGCUCUGAUCAUCCCUGUAAUUCAUCAAUGUAUAUACAUAAGAAUAUAACUCAUCGUCCUUUGGACUACGUACAUACGUUGAUACGUAUACGAGGAAGAGAGAUCAUCACAGAUGGUGCUAUGGGGUUUUCACUUUUAAUUCUGGGUCAUCUUCGGCAACGUUAUUAAGAUUUGACAGUUUUUAAGUUAUUUUUAUAGUCAUUGCAACAUUAUGCGAUCGUUAUCUAAAAUCAAAAGCAAUACUUUUACUUUUUUUUAAA